UACGUAGGGUGCGAGCGUUAAUCGGAAUUACUGGGCGUAAAGCGUGCGCAGGUGGCGUCGCAAGUCAGGCGUGAAAGCCCCGGGCUUAACCUGGGAACUGCAUUUGUGACUGCAUCGCUGGAGUGCGGCAGAGGGGGAUGGAAUUCCGCGUGUAGCAGUGAAAUGCGUAGAUAUGCGGAGGAACACCGAUGGCGAAGGCAAUCCCCUGGGCCUGCACUGACGCUCAUGCACGAAAGCGUGGGGAGCAAACAGG
This 253-nucleotide ribosomal RNA is filed under the name uncultured bacterium. RNAcentral's name for it is "partial 16S ribosomal RNA". It matches the Rfam family "Bacterial small subunit ribosomal RNA", at positions 524 to 776 of the family's 1533-position model. The record is from RNAcentral.